CACGCCGUAAACGAUGGAUACUAGCUGUUGGGAGCAAUCUCAGUGGCUAAGCGAAAGUGAUAAGUAUCCCACCUGGGGAGUACGUUCGCAAGAAUGAAACUCAAAGGAAUUGACGGGGGCCCGCACAAGCGGUGGAGCAUGUGGUUUAAUUCGAUGAUACGCGAGGAACCUUACCAAGGCUUAAAUGUAGAUUGACCGUUUUGGAAACAGAACUUUCGCAAGACAAUUUACAAGGUGC
This 238-nucleotide ribosomal RNA is filed under the name uncultured Flavobacterium sp. RNAcentral's name for it is "partial 16S ribosomal RNA". It matches the Rfam family "Bacterial small subunit ribosomal RNA", at positions 796 to 1041 of the family's 1533-position model. The record is from RNAcentral. Lineage: Bacteria; Pseudomonadati; Bacteroidota; Flavobacteriia; Flavobacteriales; Flavobacteriaceae.